Leptinotarsa decemlineata (Colorado potato beetle) is the source of this 697-nucleotide long non-coding RNA. Lineage: Eukaryota; Metazoa; Arthropoda; Insecta; Coleoptera; Chrysomelidae. The record is from RefSeq and is a predicted model, not a curated record.
GAAACGAAGUAAAAGUCUGUGGUUUUUUUGGUAAAUACGCAUUAUUCAGUUUAAUAUAAUUUGCUUGGGGCCUAACAGGUCAAAUAAUACUUGUAUUGUGGCGACUCGUGCCUGCAUCUUAUUUAGCUGUAUAUUCGCGAAUAACCAUCCAUUAUUGAUGCCUGUAUUGUUCAUUCAUUUCACUCCGAAUCAGUAAAAGUUCCAUAUUACAAGAGCAGCAGUCUGAUUUUCCCUGACCACCCACGAAAAACCCUGAGAGAAAAACCAGUUCCAUUACAACUUGGCGCCCAACGUGGGGCCCAAGGGUUUUUUAUUGCUGUCUUAUGAUGGCCAGCCCAACAUAUAACUUGAGAAGCAAAGGAGGAAUGAAUAAUCAGGAACAAAGUGCCGAAUCGACGGUAAAUGGAAAUUCCCACCCAAAAAAUCAUAGGAAAGAACAAGGUAACGAUUUUCAAAUUUCUAUAUCAACUCAAGGAUAUGUUCAACCUACAACGUCAUUGCCGGAGGUGUCAUAUCUGAUUUUUCACAUCUGGGAGCGACUUCCUUGUCAUUUUAUGCGAAUACCACUUCGGUGCCACAUCCAGGGGGAAACAUUACAAUGAGUACAGUUGCGGAUCCCCAUCCGGGUUUUAAUGAAUGUUCAACUCUGUACCAGAAGCAAUUAAUAGAAAUUAUUAAAGAAGAAGUGAGAAAUACA